ACGACUAUAUUUGUACUCUUUUCUCACCCAACCCUCCCCAUAUCCCAGGCUUACCUGUGCAUACCACAAUAGCCUUUCUUCUGCUGUAUCUUUCAUAAUACACUGGAGUUUGCUAGCCAAAGUGGGAUGCAGGGAGAAGUAGCAUCAGCACCCCCAACUGCUUGCUAGAAAUGCCAGUUCCCGAACCUCACUCCAGAUCGGCUGAAUCAGAACUGCACUUCAACAAGGAACACAUAGGAGUUUUAGACAUGUUAAACUUGAAGUAGCAUGUGCUGCAGUAUUGCAGUUACACAGAGGAGUUCUAGACAUGUUAAACUUGAAGUUGCACCACACUGCAGUAUUGCAGUUCCCUCCAUGCUGACACUCCGGUCAUAGCUUUACACAUUGUCAGCUCAUGCACUGGAGAUCAGGUCGUAGCUUUACACAUUGUCAGCUCAUGCACUGGAGAUCAGGUCAUAGCUUUACACAUUGUCAGCUCAUGCACUGGAGAUAAGGUCAUAGCUUUACACAUUGUCAGCUCAUGCACUGGAGAUAAGGUCAUAGCUUUAAACAUUGUCAGCUCAUGCACUGGAGAUCAGGUCAUAGCUUUAAACAUUGUCAGCUCAUGCACUGGAGAUCCGGUCAUAGCUUUAAACAUUGUCAGCUCAUGCACUGGAGAUCAGGUCAUAGCUUUAAACAUUGUCAGCUCAUGCACUGGAGAUCAGGUCAUAGCUUUACACAUUGUCAGCUCAUGCACUGGAGAUCCAGUCAUAGCUUUAAACAUUGUCAGCUCAUGCACUGGAGAUUUUUUUUCCUCCCUGCAUUGAAAUCAUUCCUAACUCAAUGAUACUCCAAGUGUGAUCUGAACUAUGACAUUUGGGGCUCAAAGGCCUUUCAGAUGAUCUGAUCUGUGCUAUGUCCAUUUUCACCUACCCUGGGAAACCAAGUUUUCAUUAUAUACUUCAAAAUGUCACAACUGACAUCAUAAAAGCAGAUAUAAGAAUAUCACUGCCUCUUAUCCAAGCAUGACAUACUAACUUUCAAACAUGAAAAUGUGCAUUGUCUGUCUUUAUCUGUACAGAUGUACCCAUGAUGGCCAUAACUUCUAGAAAAUGUGUGAUUACUGAAUCAGUCUUUACUGAACUCAAAGCAGUUCCCCAUUGAAAACCUGAAUAAGUAUCCAUGGUGUGAUGUACAUAUUUUAGUUUUCCAAAUUCUACAAAAUGGAGCACAUCCAUCUGCCAGAUUUCAUUCCUUUGAGUACUCUUUGGGUUACUUCCUGAAGGUAGUGGUAUUUGGUUGUAUAAAGAACCAGUAGGACAUCUCCUUAUAAUUUCCUUGGCUUGUUGCCACAUGAUGGAAAAAUCUUUUUUUUUUAACCUUUGCUAUUGGCAUGAUGUUUUUAAUGAAAUUCUGAGGGCUUCAGCAAUUUCCAAUCAAUAAUUGAUCGAUUUCUGCAUUACUUUGUGCUAGAGGACCUUGCAGACCUGUGUGGGAUUGGAUGUGUGUUAUAUAUAUGGAAUGACUCCUAUUCCUGAUUGUAUCUUGUAACUGAAUAAAUAAUAAAGUCAAUUCUGUAUUAUCUGGUAUAAAUUCAGAGAUUUCAAUAUGCAAAACAACUCUUUCUACAUAUUGUGAAUUAGUAACUAUGUUGAGAGAUUCUUUAGAAUCCUCUAGUACCAUGAGAAUAGCAUAUAAUUCUGACUUUUGGACAAAAUCGUAAGGACUUUGAUCCACUUAUUAAAUUUUCUGUUUUGUAACCUGCCUUUUCUGAGUUUAUUUGCAUCAGUAUAGAAUGUAGGGGCUUGAGCUAUUGAUGUGUCCUGUACAAUGUGAGGAAGGACCCAGUUAAUUCUUUUUUGUUUCUUGUUUUUUGUUUUUAGAGACAGGGUUUCUCUAUGGUUUUGGAGCCUGUCCUGGAA
Alexandromys fortis (reed vole) is the source of this 1901-nucleotide long non-coding RNA. RefSeq lists it as uncharacterized. The transcript has 2 exons. Lineage: Eukaryota; Metazoa; Chordata; Mammalia; Rodentia; Cricetidae. The record is from RefSeq and is a predicted model, not a curated record.